GAUUUUGCUCUUCAUGUUUUAUUAGAAGACUUAUACUUGCAUUUUGGGUGAGUGUUCAAAUGCUUUUAUGAGAUCUGAAUUUGAAGGAAGAACUUUCACACUACCAAGGUGUUUGAUGAAAUGCCCCCUUAAGGAUUCUAUUAGGAAAUCAUCUCUCAUUUAAUAAUUCCAAGGAUGCAUUAUUCACAUUCACUAGAAAGAACUAUUCAAUAAUUAUAAUAUGCAUUAUAUAUCAUUUUUGUUAAAUAAAUAUUUAUUUGAAAUGCGUUUAGCUAGAUAUUUGAUGUUCAAGCUGUAUCAAGUGGUGAUACUCCUACAACAAAAUGUAACACCUUUUUAUAACUUGCAUGAGUAAAAAUGUAUGUAUAGUCUAACUUUGUUGUGUAUAUGUGUACAGGUUAGGAGGAUCGAUUGACAUGAAAAAGUCUACCUAUAUGUUUUCACUUAUUUCAACUAAGUGAGUUUAAAACAAGGAGGAAAGUAGGGUCUUCCGUGAUGCACUUGACCAAUGAAAGAUGUUUGUGGAGAUUCAAGGCCUAUUUUGACAGGUAUCUUAUUCUAAAAGUUAAUCACACAUCUUCUGCAGUACAAUCACAUUCUCUUCGUUAUUUAUUUUAUUAGUUUUUGAAUUAUAAUGGAGAUGUUAGUCAUGACUUUUUGAGUAAAACUAUUGUUAUUUUUUCCAGUCGUGUACAUUAAUGCACAAACAUAAAGUUUUAGCUGAAACUUUCUGUGAUGAUUCAUAUAUUGUCAGGUUUAGUUUGAUGCAAGAGACAUAAUCCUAUAAUGAUGAAAAAAAUGAAAUUUUCAGUUUACCGUGUUUAUAGACAUCAUAAAACACAUGAAUUUUGAAAAAAGACAGAGAUUCAAAUAGAUUGAAUUCUGCAUAUAUAUAGUGAAAAUUCAUUUCUCAUCAAUGGAAACCCUCAAGAUCUCUUAAAAUCUUUUAGAGUGCUAAGAUGGAGUUUUGUCCCCAUAUUUGUUUGUUUCGAUGAUAGAGACUCUCAACAUAAAGCUAAAAAAAGGUGAGAAUUUGGAUUGGGUAAAGAGGUUGCAGGUUGAUAGAAUGGGAGGUGCACCAUGUACAAUUUCUCAUAUUUUAUAUGCAAAUGUCAUUUUGUUGAUAUGUUCAUGGAGGAAUUCUCCUAACUUUUGGGAUAGUAACUGGUUCAAGGGUGAAUCUGGCUAAGAGGGUGUUUGGAUUGCUUUUACAAGAUGACUUCUAAGCUAAAAGCUAAAAGUCAUAAGUUGGUUAUACCCAACUUUUAGAUUUAAUUUUUUUUUUUUGCCUUUUCUGGCAAUCAAACACUACAAAAAAUGAGCUUAAAUUCAAAAGCACUUAAAAUGAGCAAAUUAAAUAGGAGUAUUAUGUACAACACCAUUGUAUAGAGGAUUUACCUCAGAGAUUUUAUAUAGGAAUUAGAUGAAAGGUUAAAGAGUUACCUAUAUUUGGGACUUUCUUGAGGUGCAAAGAAGAAUGCCAAAAGUAUCUGACUGAGAUAUUAAAUAGAUGUCUCAAUAAGAUGACUUCUUGAAAAAAAAAAUUGUCUUUCGAUGGCAGACUCACUUCAGUUAAUAGUGUGUUGGAUAAAAUUUCAACCUACUUAUUGUUUUUGUUAAAGUUGCAUGGUUAUAUGAGGAAAAUUUGAAUACCAUAAAAAGUGACCUCAUGUGGAAAGGCGUAAUACAAGAGAACUAAAGUUAUUAAAUGACAAAAAAAA
This is a long non-coding RNA of Solanum tuberosum (potato), 1721 nucleotides long. RefSeq lists it as uncharacterized. The record is from RefSeq and is a predicted model, not a curated record. NCBI's taxonomy places the organism in Eukaryota, Viridiplantae, Streptophyta, Magnoliopsida, Solanales, Solanaceae. The transcript is spliced from 2 exons.